Molecule: transfer RNA, 73 nt
Filed under: Mus musculus (house mouse)
Lineage: Eukaryota; Metazoa; Chordata; Mammalia; Rodentia; Muridae
Rfam family: tRNA
About the family: Transfer RNA (tRNA) molecules are approximately 80 nucleotides in length. Their secondary structure includes four short double-helical elements and three loops (D, anti-codon, and T loops).
Source: Rfam by way of RNAcentral
GGCAGUGUAGCUCAGUUGGUAGCGUGCUUGCCUACAAUGCACAGAGCCCUGGGUUCAAUUCCCAGCACUGUAU